UGGGGAAUAUUGGACAAUGGGCGCAAGCCUGAUCCAGCCAUGCCGCGUGAACGAUGAAGGCCUUAGGGUUGUAAAGUUCUUUUGUCAGGGAAGAUAAUGACGGUACCUGAAGAAUAAGCACCGGCUAACUUCGUGCCAGCAGCCGCGGUAAUACGAAGGGUGCUAGCGUUGUUCGGAAUCACUGGGCGUAAAGCGCGCGUAGGCGGCGAUAUAAGUCAGAGGUGAAAGCCUGGAGCUCAACUCCAGAACUGCCUUUGAAACUAUAUUGCUAGAGUGUCGGAGGGAUAGCGGAAUUGCUAAUGUAGAGGUGAAAUUCGUAGAUAUUAGCAGGAACACCGGUGGCGAAGGCGGCUAUCUGGACGACAACUGACGCUGAGGCGCGAAAGCGUGGGGAUCAAACAGGAUUAGAUACCCCCGUAGUCCCUGAGCGGGCUGGCAAGGCGCAU
This 446-nucleotide ribosomal RNA is filed under the name uncultured bacterium. Its description in RNAcentral is "bacterial SSU rRNA". It matches the Rfam family "Bacterial small subunit ribosomal RNA", at positions 355 to 825 of the family's 1533-position model. The record is from RNAcentral.